UUGAAUCUGGCUUUCUGAUUCGAUAUAGAUGAACUAAGGACUUGUUUUUGGGAUUGGUUUAUCAGAUUUGGGGCUGAGAAAGUUUUAGUUGAGUGAAUGUGUAUGAAUGAGGCUUGAAUGCAAUUUUUCUCUGUCUUUGAUCUUAUAUAUGACUUGUAUAUAAUGUGUAUGGCUGAAGUAAUAGGCUGAGAUUGUUAAUUCAAGUCACAUGGCU
RNAcentral lists this long non-coding RNA (214 nucleotides) under Panax ginseng (ginseng). RNAcentral describes it as "long non-coding RNA (PGIN_LNC013843)". The record is from RNAcentral. Lineage: Eukaryota; Viridiplantae; Streptophyta; Magnoliopsida; Apiales; Araliaceae.